AUUGAACGCUGGCGGCAGGCCUAACACAUGCAAGUCGAAUGGUAACAGGAAACAGCUUGCUGUUUCGCUGACGAGUGGCGGACGGGUGAGUAAUGUCUGGGAAACUGCCUGAUGGAGGGGGAUAACUACUGGAAACGGUAGCUAAUACCGCAUAACGUCGCAAGACCAAAGAGGGGGACCUUCGGGCCUCUUGCCAUCAGAUGUGCCCAGAUGGGAUUAGCUAGUAGGUGGGGUAACGGCUCACCUAGGCGACGAUCCCUAGCUGGUCUGAGAGGAUGACCAGCCACACUGGAACUGAGACACGUUCCAGACUCCUACGGGAGGCAGCAGUGGGGAAUAUUGCACAAUGGGCGCAAGCCUGAUGCAGCCAUGCCGCGUGUAUGAAGAAGGCCUUCGGGUUGUAAAGUACUUUCAGCGGGGAGGAAGGGAGUAAAGUUAAUACCUUUGCUCAUUGACGUUACCCGCAGAAGAAGCACCGGCUAACUCCGUG
This 490-nucleotide ribosomal RNA is filed under the name uncultured bacterium. RNAcentral's name for it is "partial 16S ribosomal RNA". It matches the Rfam family "Bacterial small subunit ribosomal RNA", at positions 30 to 507 of the family's 1533-position model. The record is from RNAcentral.